GCCUCAUUAGCUCAGUUGGUUAGAGCGACGGACUGUUAAUCCGCAGGUCCCUGGUUCGAGUCCAGGAUGGGGCG
RNAcentral lists this transfer RNA (74 nucleotides) under Bacteroidota bacterium. Its description in RNAcentral is "Bacteroidetes bacterium (activated sludge metagenome) tRNA-Asn". It matches the Rfam family "tRNA". From Rfam's summary of the family: Transfer RNA (tRNA) molecules are approximately 80 nucleotides in length. Their secondary structure includes four short double-helical elements and three loops (D, anti-codon, and T loops). Lineage: Bacteria; Pseudomonadati; Bacteroidota. The record is from RNAcentral. RNAcentral also lists the same sequence under 3 other names.